ACGAAUUGUACUGGAGGGUUGAUGCUGGAAGCCAUUUCAUGUGCUCGCCCCCUAACAAUCUUCAUCCAAACGCCACCUGUGCACAUUUCUGGAGGGGGGGGGGGUUUCUCUAAGUUUGAUUGCCUUGUUGGUGAUUUUUCUUCGGGGUUUCCUUCCUAUCUCCCCUCAUACACACACACUGCCUUUAGAACAUUGAACGUGAUUGUGCCGCAAGGCCUUUGUUGCAAUA
RNAcentral lists this unclassified non-coding RNA (229 nucleotides) under uncultured Clavulina. RNAcentral describes it as "sequence contains ITS1". Lineage: Eukaryota; Fungi; Basidiomycota; Agaricomycetes; Cantharellales; Hydnaceae. The record is from RNAcentral.